GAUGAACGCUGGCGGCGUGCCUAAUACAUGCAAGUCGAACGAAAAGAUGAGGAGCUUGCGCCUCUGACGUUAGCGGCGGACGGGAGAGUAACACGUGGAUAACCUACCUAUAAGACUGGGAUAACUACGGGAAACCGGAGCUAAUACCGGAUGAUAUAUUGAACCGCGUGGGGCAAUAGUGAAAGACGGUUUUGCUGGCGGUAAUAGAUGGAUAAGCGCCGCAUUAGCUAGUUGGUAAGGUAACGGCUUACCAAGGCAACGAUGCGCAGCCGACCUCAAAGGGUGGUCGCCCACCUUGGAACUGGGCCACGCCCCAGACUCCUGCGGUAGGCCGCAGUCGGGAAUCUUCCGCAAUGGGCGAAAGCCUGACGGAGCACCGCCGCGUGAGUGAUGAAGGUCUUCGGAUCGUAAAGCUCUGUUAUUAGUGAAGAACAAAUGUGUAAUUAACUAUGCACGUCUUGACGGUACCUAAUCAGAAAGCCCCGGCUAACUACGUG
RNAcentral lists this ribosomal RNA (497 nucleotides) under uncultured bacterium. RNAcentral's name for it is "partial 16S ribosomal RNA". It matches the Rfam family "Bacterial small subunit ribosomal RNA", at positions 28 to 507 of the family's 1533-position model. The record is from RNAcentral.